GUCUACAGCUAUAUCACGUUUUAAUCACCGGUUCUCGUCCGUCCGAGUUAAGCAACGUCGAGCCCGGUUAGUACUUGGAUGGGUGACCGCCUGGGAAUACCGGGUUCUGUAGGCU
Ribosomal RNA from Helobdella robusta, 115 nucleotides. The record is from Rfam. NCBI's taxonomy places the organism in Eukaryota, Metazoa, Annelida, Clitellata, Rhynchobdellida, Glossiphoniidae.